UCACUGAGGCCCAAUUGAUGUAUC
RNAcentral lists this non-coding RNA (24 nucleotides) under Arabidopsis thaliana (thale cress). Lineage: Eukaryota; Viridiplantae; Streptophyta; Magnoliopsida; Brassicales; Brassicaceae. The record is from RNAcentral.